This 365-nucleotide long non-coding RNA is filed under the name Trifolium pratense (red clover). RNAcentral's name for it is "long non-coding RNA (TPRA_LNC008568)". Lineage: Eukaryota; Viridiplantae; Streptophyta; Magnoliopsida; Fabales; Fabaceae. The record is from RNAcentral.
AUUAUUAUUAUUGUAUUUGUUGUACCAAUAAUUACUUUAUAUGACAACCUUUGCCACUGCUAUUUAUUUUGGGCCACUAACAAAUAAUAGGCCCAAUCCAAAUUGACCCAAAUAAGGGAGUCCAUACCCGAAAUUUCCUUGCCUAUUUUGGAUUGUGAAGUUGCAGCUAGGGUUGACAGGAGCAACAAGGAGCAAUUGGAGCAGUCAGCCAUAUUGGGAGUUCAACCAGCAGCAGAAUUGAGACAAGGUAAGUGACUUAUGUUUUCUAUAUUUCGAAGCUCUUCUUAAACCCAUGAUGAACUUCAAAUUCUAAUCUUUUUAUAACACAACUUCUAUAAUAUAUAUCAAAGCUAUUUGCAUAGAAA